Molecule: ribosomal RNA, 467 nt
Filed under: uncultured bacterium
Lineage: Bacteria
Description: partial 16S ribosomal RNA
Rfam family: Bacterial small subunit ribosomal RNA
Source: RNAcentral
GACGAACGCUGGCGGCGUGCUUAACACAUGCAAGUCGAACGGAAAGGCUCCAGCUUGCUGGUGUACUCGAGUGGCGAACGGGUGAGUAACACGUGGGUAAUCUGCCCUGCACUCUGGGAUAAGCUUGGGAAACUGGGUCUAAUACUGGAUAUGACCUUUCUCCUUAUGGGGUUUGGUGGAAAGUUUUUCGGUGUAGGAUGAGCCCGCGGCCUAUCAGCUUGUUGGUGGGGUGAUGGCCUACCAAGGCGACGACGGGUAGCCGGCCUGAGAGGGUGAUCGGCCACAUUGGGACUGAGAUACGGCCCAGACUCCUACGGGAGGCAGCAGUGGGGAAUAUUGCACAAUGGGCGGAAGCCUGAUGCAGCGACGCCGCGUGAGGGAUGACGGCCUUCGGGUUGUAAACCUCUUUCAGCAGGGACGAAGCGUAAGUGACGGUACCUGCAGAAGAAGCACCGGCUAACUAUGUG